AGGGUUUGAUCCUGGCUCAGAACGAACGCUGGCGGCAGGCCUCAUACAUGCAAGUCGAGCGGUCCUUCGGGACAGCGGCGAACGGGUUAGUAACGCGUGGGAACGUGCCCUUUAGUACGGAAUAGCCAUUGGAAACGAUGAUUAAUACCGUAUACGCCCCAAGGGGGAAAGAUUUAUCGCUAAAGGAUCGGCCCGCGUUAGAUUAGGUAGUUGGUAGGGUAAUGGCCUACCAAGCCGACGAUCUAUAGCUGGUUUGAGAGGAUGAUCAGCAACACUGGGACUGAGACACGGCCCAGACUUCUACGGAAGGCAGCAGUAGGGAAUCUUGGACAAUGGGCGAAAGCCUGAUCCAGCCAUGCCGCGUGAGUGAUGAAGGCCCUAGGGUUGUAAAGCUCUUUCGCCAGGGAAGAUAAUGACGGUACCUGGUAAAGAAACCCCGGCUAACUCCGUGCCAGCAGCCGCGGUAAUACGGAGGGGGUUAGCGUUGUUCGGAAUUACUGGGCGUAAAGCGCACGUAGGCGGAUUAAUAAGUCAGGGGUGAAAUCCCGAGGCUCAACCUCGGAACUGCCUUUGAUACUGUUAAUCUUGAGUUCGAGAGAGGUGAGUGGAAUUCCGAGUGUAGAGGUGAAAUUCGUAGAUAUUCGGAGGAACACCAGUGGC
Molecule: ribosomal RNA, 660 nt
Filed under: uncultured bacterium
Lineage: Bacteria
Description: bacterial SSU rRNA
Rfam family: Bacterial small subunit ribosomal RNA
Source: RNAcentral